GUAGGUGAACCUGCGGAAGGAUCAUUAGUGAGGCUUCGGCCAUUGGAUAUUACAAACCUCUGUGAACACACCGCCCUCGGGCAUUACAAACUUGAAGUAACGAACGUUGAAUGGGAAUAAACACAACUUUCAACAAUGGAUCUCUUGGCUCUC
This 153-nucleotide unclassified non-coding RNA is filed under the name rhizosphere metagenome. Its description in RNAcentral is "partial ribosomal RNA internal transcribed spacer region". The record is from RNAcentral.